This 715-nucleotide ribosomal RNA is filed under the name uncultured bacterium. Its description in RNAcentral is "bacterial SSU rRNA". It matches the Rfam family "Bacterial small subunit ribosomal RNA", at positions 8 to 722 of the family's 1533-position model. The record is from RNAcentral.
AGAGUUUGAUCAUGGCUCAGGACGAACGCUGGCGGCGUGCUUAACACAUGCAAGUCGAACGAACGCUCGAGGGCUUGCUCUCGAGCGUGAGUGGCGGACGGGUGCGUAACACGUGAGGAACAUACCCAUCGGCGGGGGAUAGCCGGCCCAACGGCCGGGUAAUACCGCGUACGACCUUUUGAGCGCAUGCUCGGGGGGUGAAAGCAGCAAUGCACCGAUGGAGUGCCUCGCGGCCUAUCAGCUUGUUGGUGAGGUAAUGGCUCACCAAGGCGACGACGGGUAGCUGGUCUGAGAGGAUGACCAGCCACAUUGGGACUGAGACACGGCCCAGACUCCUACGGGAGGCAGCAGUGGGGAAUAUUGCGCAAUGGCCGAAAGGCUGACGCAGCGACGCCGCGUGUGGGAUGAAGGUCCUCGGAUUGUAAACCACUGUCAGGAGGGACGAAGGCCCCGCAAGGGGAUUGACGGUACCUCCAAAGGAAGCACCGGCUAACUCCGUGCCAGCAGCCGCGGUAAUACGGAGGGUGCGAGCGUUGUCCGGAAUCACUGGGCGUAAAGGGCGCGUAGGCGGCCCGGUAAGUAGGGGGUGAAAUUCCACGGCUCAACCGUGGACCGGCCUCCUAGACUGUCGGGCUUGAGCACGGUAGAGGCAGAUGGAAUUCCCGGUGUAGCGGUGGAAUGCGUAGAUAUCGGGAAGAACACCAGUGGCGAAGGC